GCUCGGCUGUCCUAGUGGUUAGAGCGUCCGCUUCAGAUGCGAGAGGUCGUGGGUUCGAACCCUGGAUGAGUU
Potamilus streckersoni is the source of this 72-nucleotide non-coding RNA. NCBI's taxonomy places the organism in Eukaryota, Metazoa, Mollusca, Bivalvia, Unionida, Unionidae. The record is from the annotation of a GenBank genome assembly.